This is a non-coding RNA of Kocuria marina, 117 nucleotides long. The record is from Rfam. Lineage: Bacteria; Bacillati; Actinomycetota; Actinomycetes; Micrococcales; Micrococcaceae.
GAUCAUGAGUCCCGGUGCGAAGCUCUGGCUAACCGGGCGGCAACCCUCCAGCUGUAGUGGGGUGCCCCAGAUGAGGAUCCGGCCGCCGCGCAACCGCGUGGUCGGCAAGUACGGCGC